AUGUUCUAAAUCUCGAGGACCAAGAAGAGAUGAAGCUGGCCACUGCGUAAGGCCAUGGGGCUGGCUUUACAUUGGGCCAAUGAAUUUACACACCGCAAUUUUGAAUAAUGGAAAAAAGAGCAAAAACUUAUUCCAUAAUGUGUGCGUUUGUAGAAUUAAAGUUUGACCAAAAGUGAUUCAUUUUCGCCGGUGUUUUGAUGAGCCGGUACACUGUAACUGUCAUGUUGAGAUGUUAAUCUUAAUUUCUUGUUUUGAUUUAGCCUGCUGAGAACAGGACUUCAUCAGGAUAUGAUGCGAGAGCUAUAUUCAUGAUAGAUACAUUGGUC
Molecule: small RNA, 326 nt
Filed under: Oryza sativa Japonica Group (Japanese rice)
Lineage: Eukaryota; Viridiplantae; Streptophyta; Magnoliopsida; Poales; Poaceae
Description: misc RNA Os03g0130400
Source: RNAcentral